GUUGAUAAUCUAAUCGGGAGCACAGGGCCUCCCCGGGUGGGUGCCCCAUUCCGAUCCGCUGCCCCUGAGAGGUGGGCCUUGGGAGAGGCAGGGCUUGGACGCCCUUCCUCGGGGCAGCGGGGUGCAGGGAGAGUUCUUCUGGCUGUGAGUCCCGGAGUCCCCGACCCUGGCACCCCUUCAGCAAGGUUCUCAGGCACAUCUGCCGGGGGCGCUGAGGGGACCUGAGAUGGACGGGCCGGGAGGGAGGCUGAGGAGAACACAGCAGGUCCCUCCGACCGCAGUCGGCCUCUCCAGCCUGCCAUGCCUCUGGCCAUGAGGCGACCCGCUGGAGUGAUGGAUUCCCGUCACUACCACCCACAGGGCGAGGGGGUGCAUUGGUCUGCUUGGGCCGCUGUAACAAAAUGCCACAGCCUGGAUGAGUGACUGACAUUGCUUCCCCACCGUUCUGGAGGCUGGAGGCCCGAGAUCGAGGUCCCUGACACUAUUUCAGUGAUGCCAGAGCCCAGGAGGAGUCGACCAAGCCCCAGCGUGGCCAUAAGCACCUUCGCAGGACCACGGAGUCGCUGCAGGUGUUCAGCCCUGUUGAGAGUGGGAGUCGGUGUCGAUGGUCACAGCUCAGUAACUCAUCGUCACCAGCGAGUACCACAGAGCAGACACAACUGCACUUCUCUGUAGAGCCUCCAGUCGAUACUGAGAGCCACUGGGGCGUCUGACACCCAAGGGUGCAGACAUUCACUCCAAGUCCAGAGACCGCGCCCUUUCUAAGGCCCUGUCUCACAGUCGCCCCGUGCUCAUUGUGCCGGAUGUUUCCACAGCCACAGAGACGGUGCGUGAAGGUGAGGUGCAGCCUAGUGCAUAUGACUGACAGAAACGUGAAGCCACAGUGGACGCCUGGAUGAGACACAGAUCACCUUCCAAAUCUGAGUGUGGCCUUGGGACCAACCAGGCAGCCAGGGAGAAGGCAGAGACCAGAGGGAACCCAGGUGCCCUCAAUCCCAGCCUCCUCUAUCCCAGCCUCCCAAUCCCAGCCUCCCCAAUCCCAGCCUCCUAAUCCCAGCCUCCUCCAUCCCAGGACCCCCACUCCCAGCCUCCCGAUCCCAGCUUCUCUGAUCCCAGCCUCCCCUAAAACCCAGACUCUAUGAAUCCCAGCCUCUGAGGUGGGAACUGUUAGUAACCCCACUCCAUGGACAAGAAAGCUGGGGCCUGGCGAGGCUAACAGACUAUCCUGAUGGUGUGAGGGAGGGAUCGGCCUCUGAGGGCUGCUUCCACCCAUCUCACCAGUGGCUGCAGGCUCCAGGCGCCACUUUCCUUGAGUCUAUGUUCUUUCCAAGCAUCCUGCAGCUCCAGAAGCUCUGGAGCCGCCAGCACUGAGAGAAGCGAUGGAGCUGCAUGCAGGGUGAGUGUAGGACCGGGCGGAGCUGCUCUGUGGCUGGCGGGCACAUUCUUUGUCAACAUGAGCAUCUCUCACUGUUCCUAGACCCCCUGGCUCCCCAGCUUCCUUGGAGCCAGGCGUGGCCACAGGAAAAUGUUUAGGUCAAUGACAGGAAACUUUGUUGACAGCGGUGUCUGGAUGGACCAGCAGAGGGCACUCUCACCCACGGGGAAAAUCGUGCGCCCGGCCUCGUCCACCGCCAGAAGACGCCGCUACACAAUGGAGUCUCGCUCUGUCGACCAGGCUGGAGUGCAAUGGUGCGAUCUCGGCUCACUGCAAUCUCUGCCUCCCGGUGAGAGGUGAAGCCAGCUGGACUUCCUGGGUCUAGUGGGGACUUGGAGAACUUUUCUGUCUAGCUAAAGAUUUGUAAAUGCACCAAUCAGUGCUGUGUCUAGCUAAAGUUUGUAAACGUACCAAUCAGCACUCUGUAAAAAUGGGCCAAUCAGCACUCUGUAAAAUGGACCAAUCAGCACUCUGUAAAAUGGACCAGUCAGCAGGAUGUGGGCGGGGUCAAAUAAAGGAAUAAAAAGCUGGUAGCCGAGCCGGCAGUGGCAAACCGUUUGGGUCCUUCUCGGUACCCUGGUGGCUUUGUUGUUUUGCUCUUUGCAAUAGAUCUUGUUGCCGCUUGCUCUUUGGGGCCUCACUGCCUUUAUGAGCUAUAACACUCCCCGCAGAGGUCUGCAGCUUCAUUCUUGAAGCCAGCGAGACCACGAACCCACUGGGAGGAACCAACAACUCCAAACGCGCCACCUGUAAGAGCUGUAACACUCCCUGUGAAGGUCUGUGGCUUCACUCCUGAAGUCAGCGAGACCAGGAACCCACCGGAAGGAACUCCGGACACAAAGAACUGCAACACUCACCCGAGGGUCUGUGGCUUCAUUCUUGAAGUCAGUGAGAUUAAGAACCCACCGGAAGGAACCAGUUCCGGACGUGCCGAGUUCAAGCAAUUGUCCUGCCUCAGUCUCCGGAGUAACUGGGAUUACAGGUGCACGCUGCCAUGCCCAGCUAAUUUGUAUUUUAGUAGAGUCGAGGUUUCACCGCGUUGCCCAGGCUGGUCUCGAAUUCCUGAGCUUGGGCAACCCACUCACCUCGGCCUCCCAAAGUGCUAGGAUUACAGGCGUGAGCCACCAGGCCGGGCCCGUAUGGUGGUUUCUACUCCGGACUGACUCUCCCGGGUCUUGGUCACUCUGCAGAAUCCUGGACCGGAAGGGGGCCUCGGCCAGGGGAGGGCUUGCGAGGAGCCCCGGACCUACUGGCCAUUAUAGGGUGACGGGAAGUUCCUUGCAUCCCGGGAUCCCAUGGCACUUGGUCAGGGAAGCCUCCCCAGAGAGGCCCAACUCCCCAGAUCCAGGUGGGGAAUCAGGGUACCAGCCAGGCAGUGUUCCCACCCCAGCCAUGCUGCUGGCUUCCGUCCCUGUGGUGGGGUCACCCAGGUGGCUCAUGCCUCCACGCACAGCCUUGUGGACACCCCCACACCGCCCAUAGUCAAGUCAGAGCUCACGAGCCCACAGGGCAGAUACCCGCCACGAGGGGACGGUGGGCCAGGAGGGUCCUCUGUGGGCAGCGCCGUGUUCCUGAUCUCCCCAGGCUGCUGGGGGAUGGGGUGGGGCAGAGGAGGCCACCUUCCCAUUUCCCACUUUGCUGGGUCUCCCUCUUUGCUGGACAGUGCUGGGGCAGGUUACACACCCAUGACAGUGUGAGGACUGAGGGUGCGCGUCCUGGAGCCUUCAGGGCUUGGGUGGAGGGGGCAGCUUGUCCCCCUGAGGCCUGGGCCAGAGAUCCCAUUCUGAAUGCGGAGAGCCAAGAUUCUACCUGGAUCCUGGCCUUGUGGGUCACUGUGACGGCCCAGAGCUGACUUUAUGUGACAGUUUGUCCUGAGAUUUAAAACUGAAUAUUUAGACUCGUGGGAUCUGGGCAUCCACUUCAACCAAGGAUGGGGACAGGCAGCAGGGUGGAGGGUGGACGAUGCAGGAAGAUGCUGUAGGACCAAGAACAAGGGGGCUGUGAGGCAAAGGAGCAGCACGAGGAGCCGUGUGUGCCCACUGCCACUUGCAGCCUCAUUUCUCAACCCGACUGUGAUGACUGCCGCUUGCUGGAAAGAUGCUCUGAAGACACAAUGAACUGACAAUGCGUCACCCCGACUCCUGCCUGAGCCACUCCAUUCCUUAAAGACGGUACGUGACUCACGUCCUUGCUGUGUCCUGCACGAGAUAAGGUCUGGCAGGGUUGGUAAUUAUGCCUCUGGGAUCUGUAACCAGACAUUCUCUGUAACCAUUCUGUAUAAUCUGGACGUUCUCUGUAAUCCAGAUGUUCUGUGUAAACUGAAGUUCUCUGUAAUUGGACUUUCUCUAUAACCAGUUGUCCUCUGUAACCUUCUCUAUAAUCCAGAUGUUCUUUGCAACCAGAUAUUCUCUCUAACCAGACAUUCUGUAUAAUCCAGACAUUCUCUGUAACCAGAUGUUUUCUAUAAUCCAGAUUUUUUUUUUUUUUUGAGACAGUUGCACUCUUUUUGCCCAGGCUGGAGUGCAAUGGUGAGAUCUUGGCUCCCUGCAACCUCCACCUCCCAGGUUCAAGCGAUUCUCCUGCUUCAACCUCCCUAGUAGCUGAGAUUACAGGCAUGCACCACCAUGCUUAGCUAAUUUUGUAUUUUUAGUAGAGACGGGGUUUCUUCAUGUUGGUCAGACUGCUCUCAAACUCCUGACCUCAGGUGAUCCGCCCACCUCGGCCUCCCAAAGUGCUGGGAUGACAGACGUGAGCCACCGCACCCGGCCCUGGAUGUUCUUUUUAAUCCAGAUAUUCUCUGUAAUCCAGACGUUCUCUACAACCAGACAUUCUCUGUAAUCGGACAUUCAGUACAAUCCAGGCUUUCUCCGUAACCAGACGUUCUCUAUAAUCCAGACGUUCUCUGUAACCCACACGCAGCUCCGUGUGACUCUGCUCUUCCGUGACUUCUGCGUCUAUAAUCCAGACGUUCUCUGUAACCCACGUGCAGCUCCGUGUGACCCUGCUCUUCCGUGACUUCUGCGUCUAUAAUCCAGACGUUC
Molecule: long non-coding RNA, 4476 nt
Filed under: Homo sapiens (human)
Lineage: Eukaryota; Metazoa; Chordata; Mammalia; Primates; Hominidae
Description: HSALNT0324673
Source: RNAcentral